GGGAUCGAUUAGCCAUGCGAGUCGAGAGGGUUCAGACCCUCGGCGGACUGSUCAGUAACACGUGGAUAACCUGCCCUAAGGUGGAGCAUAACCCCGGGAAACUGGGGAUAAUACUCCAUAGAUUAGAGACACUGGAAUGUUCUUUAGUCGAAAGUUCUGGCGCCUUAGGAUGGAUCUGCGGUCGAUUAGGUUGUUGUUGGGGUAACGGCCCAACAAGCCUGUAAUCGAUACGGGUUGUGGGAGCAAGAGCCCGGAGAUGGAAUCUGAGACACGAUUCCAGGCCCUACGGGGCGCAGCAGGCGCGAAAACUUUACAAUGCAGGAAACUGUGAUAAGGGAACUCCGAGUGCCCGUAUACGCGGGCUGUCCAGGUGUUUAAAAAUCAUCUGAAGAAAGGGCCGGGCAAGACCGGUGCCAGCCGCCGCGGUAAUACCGGCGGCUCGAGUGGUGGCCACUAUUAUUGGGCUUAAAGCGUCCGUAGCUGGACCGAUAAGUCUCUUGGGAAAUCCGCCGGCUCAACCGGCGGGCGUCUAAGGGAUACUGUUAGUCUAGGGACCGGGAGAGGUGAGAGGUACUCCGGGGGUAGGAGUGAAAUCCUGUAAUCCCCGGGGGACCACCGAUGGCGAAGGCAUCUCACCAGAACGGCUCCGACAGUGAGGGACGAAAGCUGGGGGAGCGAACCGGAUUAGAUACCCGGGUAGUCCCACCCGUAAACUAUGCGCGUUAGGUGUAUCGAUGACCACGAGUCAUCGAGGUGCCGAAGGGAAACCGGAAACACGCCGCCGGAAGAC
This 790-nucleotide ribosomal RNA is filed under the name uncultured Methanoculleus sp. Its description in RNAcentral is "bacterial SSU rRNA". It matches the Rfam family "Archaeal small subunit ribosomal RNA", at positions 36 to 828 of the family's 1478-position model. The record is from RNAcentral. Lineage: Archaea; Methanobacteriati; Methanobacteriota; Methanomicrobia; Methanomicrobiales; Methanomicrobiaceae.